RNAcentral lists this ribosomal RNA (269 nucleotides) under uncultured prokaryote. Its description in RNAcentral is "partial 16S ribosomal RNA". It matches the Rfam family "Bacterial small subunit ribosomal RNA", at positions 524 to 792 of the family's 1533-position model. The record is from RNAcentral.
UACGUAGGGUGCGAGCGUUGUCCGGAAUUAUUGGGCGUAAAGAGCUUGUAGGCGGUUUGUCGCGUCUGCUGUGAAAAUCCGGGGCUCAACCCCGGACUUGCAGUGGGUACGGGCAGACUAGAGUGUGGUAGGGGAGACUGGAAUUCCUGGUGUAGCGGUGAAAUGCGCAGAUAUCAGGAGGAACACCGAUGGCGAAGGCAGGUCUCUGGGCAACUACUGACGCUGAGAAGCGAAAGCAUGGGGAGCAAACAGGAUUAGAUACCCCCGUA